Molecule: long non-coding RNA, 1178 nt
Organism: Lagenorhynchus albirostris (white-beaked dolphin)
Lineage: Eukaryota; Metazoa; Chordata; Mammalia; Artiodactyla; Delphinidae
Exons: 5
Source: RefSeq, a predicted model, not a curated record
GCCGGCGCUGACCCCUCCCGCGCGCCCGCCCCGCUCCGGUCCCCCUCCCGCCGCCAGCGGGUGCUCCGCGGGCGCGGAGAGGAGCGCGCGGCAGCCGGGACCUACCUGUCUGCGGUGCGCCCGCUUGGCUGCGCCCGGGAGCACGGGCCAGGCGGUGGGGCCGAGCUGCGCCCUCCCGGAGCCGCGCUUGUCUGUCCGCCCGCCCUCCCGGCACUUCCGCAUCACCGCCCCCGCCCCUGGGCCGAGGCCGCCGAGCCUGGGUGCGCGGGCAGCGCCCCGCCCUGCCCCGCGAAGCCACCGUGGGGUCCCCGCGCAGACCCAGCGACCGAGGGGCCGGGCUGAGCCUCGGGCCAGGCUGGUCCCCCUGCAGCCCAGGGCCUGGGGGAGACGCCAGGCGGCGAGGUAGCCUUGAGAACUUGCUGGCGAGACACUGGGCUCUGGACUCCAACAGGGCUGAGUCACACCCUGGCUCUACCACUCGGGAAUUGUGUGACUUUGAGCAAACCUCGGACUCUCUUGGAAACCCCAUUUUCUGCCUGUAAGACUAUUCUCCUCCCUUUCUCCUGGAGCAGCACUUCCAAAGCUGCAGGGAGGCUGACGUGACCUGACAGCUUGUCCAGGGGCCAUCACCGGCGGUGGAGGUUGGGGUGAGAUGGGAAGAAGAAAGGGACACCUGCUCAGCAAACUUUUGCUUCCAGCCACCAAAGGCAGAGGGAAAACCAAGCUGCUGCUAUUGACAGUACAACCUGAAGGAGCCAGAAUGUUCCUGUUCUAAAGAAAGUACUGGAUUUUGGUGAGGAUGGUGGCAUCUGGUUCCACUAGCCCAGCAGAGAAAUGUGAGCCCUUUAUUCCAAGCCUGACGUUUGAGUGCACCUGCGGUCGGUCGUGUGCUCAUGCCCCUCCCUCUGCCAGCAUCCACAUUCCCCUUCCCUUGGUCUGGGCCGGGCAUUCUGGCCAUCGCUAUUCCUGAUUCAUUCAUCCCUGUAUUCCUGUAUCUGGCUCAAUACCUGGCAGCAAAGAGGCUCACGGUGGAAACUCAGCUGCUCUCCAAAUAACACCCUUUCCUCUGGGCUCUGGGAUUUUAUUUCACAGAGCGAGUUUUCCAGACGCUUCUGUACCUUCUGUUGCAGAUAAAGAAUGUGAAUAUUGCCUUUUCAGGUUGGGCCUCAGCGGGAGAU